AGAAUCAACGCUAGCGGCGUGCCUAACACAUGCAAGUCGAACGAGAAAGGGUAGCAAUACCUGAGUAAAGUGGCGCACGGGUGAGUAACACGUGACUAACCUACCUUUUAGUGGGGGAUAACCUAGGGAAACCUGGGCUAAUACCGCAUAAUACCUACGGGUCAAAGCAGCAAUGCGCUGGAAGAGGGGGUCGCGGCCGAUUAGCUAGUUGGCGGGGUAAUGGCCCACCAAGGCAGUGAUCGGUA
Molecule: ribosomal RNA, 245 nt
Filed under: uncultured bacterium
Lineage: Bacteria
Description: partial small subunit ribosomal RNA
Rfam family: Bacterial small subunit ribosomal RNA
Source: RNAcentral